UAUCUGUAAGCCAUUUCCGGAGCUAUUUGUUUGUAUCGUCCACCUCGUCGACAAAUUGGAUAAGGCCCUGUCAAGAUUUUGCCGGGCGUUGCAUCUCCGACGAAUCGGAGGCGAUCUCAAUCCAGUAGCAGCUUUGCUUGGCUUUCCCUCGCGCCUUCUCGUACUCUUGCUAGUGUAGAUGUGUUCAACCGCUGAACUUUGUGAUGCAAAUCCAUCCCUCCUCGCAAAGGGGGAUAUCCGAGUUCUUCAACCGAUAUUCCAGAUGUACGGUCAAUGCCACGCAUUCUCUGGACCUAUAGUCACACUCAAGGUGUUCGAGGACAAUGUGCUGGUGAGGGAGUUUCUCGAGUCACCAGGGGACGGCCGAGUAUUGGUGGUGGAUGGUGGAGGGAGCAUGAGAUGUGCCUUAGUCGGAGGCAACUUGGGACAAUUAGCACAGAACAUGGGUUGGGCAGGCAUUCUUGUGAAUGGUUGCAUAAGGGACAUCUACGAAAUCAAUGGUUGCGAUAUCGGAGUCAGAGCUUUGGGACCUCAUCCUCUAAAAUCAAACAAGAGAGGCCUAGGUGAAAAGAACGUCACUGUUAACAUCGCCGGCACCAUAAUUCAUGACGGAGAAUGGCUAUAUGCCGAUAGUGAUGGAAUUCUAAUUUCAAACACAGAGUUGUCUCUUUGACCUUCUCAAGAAGGUUCAACAAUUCGAUGAGGAGCAACGAUAGAACAAGAAUGUCUAAGCGACUGACUGAAGAAGCAGAGAAGUACUUUGCAUAAGAGAUCCCGGUUUGAGCUACUUCAAAACAGAAACUUAUGAAGAACUAGGCCUCUACCUACUGAUGCAGACGGCGCUUUGCUUCCUUGGCUGCCAUGGGAAACUAGCAGUGGUCCAUUUUCGUCGUGCAAAAAUAAACCUGGAGUUCCAAUUUCCACAGGAAACAACUCAUAUGCUGAUGCUGCAAUAAUGCCGAUACAGGAGGCAGGUGCUGAGAUCAGUAAUGACAAUAAGAUAUCAAGCAGUAUGGGCAGUCGGAGCCACGGAGAAAUCAAAGGCUCUUCCACAGAUACCAUCAGCAGAGGACACAGCAAGUUCAGACUUCUAAAUCAUUAUUCUGAUGGUAGAACAUGCCCAUCUUCGUUCAACAUGGAUGAGUACCUGAACUUGAAUCAAGCCGAAGAUCUUCUUUUCGAGAGGCUGAGGCAGAGGCAAAGAAUAGAGUAUGGUGGAAUCAUACUCUGCAGAGGACAAAGUUAUUUCAUUGCUUAAUCUAUCCUCAAAUUUUGUUGUUGAGAACUUGUGCAUAAUUCAGUAGGCUAAAGUUAGCAUUCCAUUUACUUUCUAAUG
RNA transcript from Zingiber officinale, 1336 nucleotides. It is a transcript of the gene named putative 4-hydroxy-4-methyl-2-oxoglutarate aldolase 3, with no coding region annotated. The record is from RefSeq and is a predicted model, not a curated record. NCBI's taxonomy places the organism in Eukaryota, Viridiplantae, Streptophyta, Magnoliopsida, Zingiberales, Zingiberaceae. The transcript has 4 exons.